GCCUCCUUGGCGCAAUCAGCUAGCGCUUUCGGCUGUUAACGGAAAGGUUGGUGGUUAAAGCCCACCCGGAGACG
This is a non-coding RNA of Trichonephila clavipes, 74 nucleotides long. NCBI's taxonomy places the organism in Eukaryota, Metazoa, Arthropoda, Arachnida, Araneae, Nephilidae. The record is from the annotation of a GenBank genome assembly.